CGUAGGGUGCGAGCGUUAAUCGGAAUUACUGGGCGUAAAGGGUGCGCAGGCGGUCCUGCAAGUCAGGCGUGAAAUCCCCGGGCUUAACCUGGGAAUGGCGCUUGAAACUACGGGACUGGAGUAUGGCAGAGGGAGGUGGAAUUCCACGUGUAGCGGUGAAAUGCGUAGAGAUGUGGAGGAACACCGAUGGCGAAGGCAGCCUCCUGGGCCAAUACUGACGCUCAUGCACGAAAGCGUGGGGAGCAAACAGGAUUAGAUACCCUGGUAGUCCACGCCCUAAACGAUGAUGACUAGUUGUUGGAGGAGUUAAAUCCUUUAGUAACGCAGCUAACGCGCGAAGUCAUCCGCCUGGGGAGUACGGUCGCAAGAUUA
This 372-nucleotide ribosomal RNA is filed under the name uncultured organism. RNAcentral's name for it is "bacterial SSU rRNA". It matches the Rfam family "Bacterial small subunit ribosomal RNA", at positions 526 to 896 of the family's 1533-position model. The record is from RNAcentral.